Long non-coding RNA from Heteronotia binoei (common prickly gecko), 509 nucleotides. RefSeq lists it as uncharacterized. The transcript has 5 exons. NCBI's taxonomy places the organism in Eukaryota, Metazoa, Chordata, Lepidosauria, Squamata, Gekkonidae. The record is from RefSeq and is a predicted model, not a curated record.
GCAGAGCCCUGACACUGCUUAUAAAGGCUGAUUAAGCAGGGAGGACAGAUGCACUGAAAAGAGCUUAGUCCUUAAAUUUGGGUCCCUCCCUCCAAAGCUUUGCUGCCUUUAAGGGAACUGUGGCCUCAAGAUCUCAAACAACAGUGCAAACAUGAAGAUCUUCUACCUUCUGUCCACCCUGCUUUUCAUGACCUAUUUGGUGGGUCCGGGAAUUGGAGAGGUUAGAUCCAAAGAUCAGUGUCAUAACUUCAGUGGUUUCUGCAUCUUCAAAGAAUGCAAUCCUGCAGAUGUACAUAUAGGAGUCUGUGAAAUGGGUGUUAAAUGCUGUGUAAGAGUUCCACCAUGGGUACCCAACAAUUUUGCAUCCCCUAUCACUGAUGGUGAGAGGUAAAAAAAUCACAUAACCCAGCUUUAGUACCAGCUUGCAUUAAUGGCAUUAAUGGCAGACUAUAGACCUUUUCUGACUCCUGAUUUUUAACUGCAAGAAAUGUUGGAGCAAUGACAUUUUU